GGGUCGGUAGCUCAGUUGGUAGAGCNNCAGGGGCCUUUUAAGCCCAAGGUCCUGGGUUCGAUCCCCAGCCGACCCACCA
Molecule: transfer RNA, 79 nt
Filed under: Candidatus Magasanikiibacteriota bacterium
Lineage: Bacteria; Candidatus Magasanikiibacteriota
Description: Candidatus Magasanikbacteria bacterium tRNA-Lys
Rfam family: tRNA
About the family: Transfer RNA (tRNA) molecules are approximately 80 nucleotides in length. Their secondary structure includes four short double-helical elements and three loops (D, anti-codon, and T loops).
Source: RNAcentral